AAGUCGUAACAAGGUUUCCGUAGGUGAACCUGCGGAAGGAUCAUUAACACGUAUCCAACGUUAAACCCCCCUGUGCCCAUGAUGACAGCAAUCCUGGUAAAUCAGUGGCGAAAGUAGUCUUUGAUUCAGGACCUCUGUCUAGUGAGAAGUUAUAGCGGGCAAUUGAGCCUUUUAUCGUCAGUCUGGAGUCCUGGCCGGGCGAAUGAAAGUGUCGCUAGACGGUUUCUAGGGUAAGGCUUCGCCAUCGCUGGAGGCUCAUCACGGGCCGGCGGACAGACUGCAGGGUCACCAUGCCCCUUUAUGACGACCAAGUUAAAUUAGGCCUCUACCACAUAGCAAGUGCGCCGUGGUAGAGGAAAACGUACAACUGUUAACAAUGGAUAUCUUGGUUCUC
This 394-nucleotide unclassified non-coding RNA is filed under the name fungal sp. Its description in RNAcentral is "partial internal transcribed spacer region". The stretch from base 1 to 46 matches the Rfam family "Eukaryotic small subunit ribosomal RNA", at positions 1786 to 1831 of the family's 1831-position model. The record is from RNAcentral. Lineage: Eukaryota; Fungi.